CACACACCGGGAAGCCGCCGCUGCGGAGCCGAGGCCGCCGCCGCUGCGCAUCUCGCGCUCUCCGCUGGGCGCUCGCGGGGGCGGCGAGGCGGUUGUGCGGGCCCCCGGGAGGGAGGCGGACACGCGAGAAGAACGGCAAAUGACAGAGCGGAGGGAAGGCUGGCCCAGCCAAUCCUGGAGCCGCUGCAGCACUGGUUCCCCAAACAAACACAUUCUGGUGCAAGGACAGAGAGGAGGGGGCUGCUGGCCCACACCCCUCCCCUGCCGGUAGCCCCCUGGCCGCUCCCCUGUGGGGAGGGCAGCUGGACAGAGGCUGCCCUGGGCCGGGCUGGUGAUGGUGCUGCGGCCCCUCCCUGCUGCCCAGCGUGGGAGGAAGAAGGCAGAGCCAGGUACCCCGUCGGGCUCGUUCACAGCGGCUGUUUCAUUUGUGCCUCAUCCCACCCCUGCGAGGAGCGGGCCGUGGCUGAGUAACAAACUUCCCUCAUCCCGUCGCCUUCUUCUUAGAAGAGGAGGCGGAGGAGACGGAGGUGGCGUGGGCUGUAGCAUCUUCGGAGCAGGAUAAAGAAGCCCUGGAACCCGGAGGAGCUUCUGCAUCGGGAAAACGCCAUGGGAACGGAGCCUUGAGCAUUGGUGGUGGCAGAGUGAGGGUUAACCAGUGAGCCUUCCUGGGAGCUUUUUGAUGCCAGUGUGUCGGGAGCUGGGAGAUGGAGCACUCAGCCGAGCGGCCAGGACGUUCUGUCAACAUGAAAGCAGCAAAAACAGCUUGUCGGGGCUGGGAGCUGACCCUGGGCUGGGGUCAUUUUCAGGAAGGGCUUGGCAGAGGGAAGGACACCGCCAGGCAUCGGGUUGGGGGCGACGUCCAGUAACUCAUGAGGGCUCUGUAGACCCUUGAAUUUGAGAAUCGGAAAAGAAAACGCAGCUGUUUUGUGCUACUAGGUGAGCUUGGCCAGCGGGAUCCCUUCCUGAGGUUCUCUCUCUGGCCCCUAAGGCGAGACCUCUUCCCAGGUCCAGCCGUGGCUCCUCGCCUUGAAUGGAAGGUGACACGGUGGGCCUCGAGCUCCUGACCUCUGGGUGUAGCUGCGUGGCAUCAUGGCGGCUCAGGGUUCCAGGCCCUUCUGGCCUCUGCGGCACUGCGCUAGGCGCGCGUGACAUCCCCGCCCCGCCCGCCCGCCGUGCCUUCCCGGGCGCAAGAGAGAGGAUGGGCCUCCACUGCCACUGAGUCUCGGCCGAGCCUUGUCCCCAGCGUCUGGUCGCCCCUCUCUCUUCCCCCAUGGCAGCCAGCAUCUGGGCAGAGGGACACACACCUUGGGGGGCCCUGGCUCUGGGGCUCUCGGCCCCCUUGCCGUGUGCCAUUUUUCAGCCUCACGCUUUCCUGAGGAUGAUACCAGCGCUGACAUUUGUCGCUGAGCGCCUCCUCCUCUCCCCAAGGACCUCCCCGCGUGACUCGUUUGGUUUCUAGGAGUGGCCCUGGGGCCUUGGGAGCCAGAGGGAGCAGGGGAGUGAGAGGGGUGGGGGGUGGGAGUGGGCCGAGCCGCCCCACGCAGAGGCAGGCCCAGCUCCUUGGCGUCGUGUCUUUUUCAGCCUGGGAAGAGAGCAACUUGACCUAAAAACAAGUGUAUCUCCGUGAGUGUUGGGUCCUUUGUGGCUCCUUGUCCUGAAGCUGUGCCUCUGAUGAGAGCCCAGGGUCUGUGUUUCAGAGAGGUCUGGGGUCCCUCAGGCUCGUUUUUAGAGAGGUGAUGCGUGGGCGUGAGGAGACCCCGUGCCCACUGCGACUCGCCUUUCUCUGGGACGCAGGGCCCGGCAGGUCUUGCUUCGGUCAUUGGAUGGGGAGCCGCAGCGGAGGUGGAGUCCUGGGGCCACAUAGCAAGUGCAGAGGGGACCCUGACUGCCUGGUUGGUCCUGGACCCUGAGCCCCCCUUCACUUCUUCCCUGCAGAGAACUCAGAGGAGCUCAGCUCUGCGAGUAGGUGACGCCCUCUCGGAGACACAGGCUCAGCUGCUGGUGGUGCUGGUGUGCGGACCAUCGUGUGGGAUGAAUGGGCGCCCGUUUGCAUGUAUUUGGAACAAAAAGAAGGAGAUGCCUGGCAGCCUGGCAGCCUGGCGCUCUGCAAUGCUGGUAGAUUAUUCAGAACCACGUGGAUGAGGGCGCCGAUGCAGGUACCGAUGGAUGUGACGUGGUCCCGGUCUUGUGAGCGAACCAUCACCAGGCUGCUUAUUGGAAACCUCGCGCAGCCAGGACCAUCAGGGUGCACCUGCCCUGCCUCCCAGAGGUCCCUGGACCAGGGACUGAACCCGCGCCACAGCAGUGACAACGCUGGACCCUUCACCUUCCACACCACCAGGAGCUCCUUGAGCGUCCAGAGUUAGACCUCACCUGAGCCUAAAGUGUCACUUCCGAGUCCAGCUUCCGGGGGUCAAGUGGAUGCUUUGAGGGACGGGCAGCAGUGUUGGUGGUUCUCCUUCAGAUCUGCCUUGCUUUGGACCCGUGAACUGCGGAGCCCCGAAACCAGCAUUCCCAGUGGCAGGAAGAUGGAUGACCAGGCUCCACUUCCCCGGCUCCUCCCCCACUCUGGCUGGAACUUGCGUCAGGCCCGUAAGUCGCUGUGACUCAGCACCCAGCCGGUGGGGAGGGAGGGAGAAGCUGCCGCCUCGCAGGAACCUUCCUGGCGUUCUGGAUUUGAACACACGGUGGUAGCGCAGAACCAGCCAGCAGCAUUCUGUUCUCAGAGGCCAAUAUCUGUUUGUUCUGUGGAUUUGCACACGGAUUUCACAAACAAGGGUUCACUUCCUUCUUGCUUUCCUUCUAUGUUAUUUGGGGGUGGGGGUGGCACCACGCGGGCCAUCGGAUUUUGGGGACUUGAAACGACACAGACAGCGUCGUUUCUAGGCUGCAGGAGAAGCUCUCCUUGCCAUCUAGAUUCGUGUUUAACCCCCAGAUGUUUGGUUUCCUUUUAAAAAUCGUGUCAGACUCUGCAUGCCUUUAGACAAAACAUGGCCCAUCCGGGUCACUUAUUUCUGCUGCACGUUGUUGCUGCUUCUGUGUCUUCAGCUUCCUGCCCGACCCCUCUGUGCAUUUGAACAUGUCGUGACGGGCCUGUGCCAGCCCCGCUCUUUCGGGAUGGACACUCCCAGGCCCGUUCCAGGAAAGCACAGGCCAGUCCCCGGAGCCCGGGCUGAGCAGGAGUCCAGCUUGCUGUGUUCCAACCCCCUGUGCGGGUCAGGGGGACCUUCCCUCCACCCUUGGGUCCCUGCCCAGGCGGAGCAGUGGAAACACCUCCAAAGAAAAUAUAGGCAUAGAAGUAGCCUUGGGUGACACUGUGGCCCCCAGACCCUCUUCCUGCCCAGCGGUAUCUGCAAUGCUGACAAUCCUGCCGGAGGAUCCUGCCCCUGCCUUUGCCAGCAGAGCCCUGGGGGGGCCGGGGCUGCUGCUUCCAGAUCAGGGUGACCCUCGGGGUGGGUGCCAAGAAGAGCAAGCCACUUCCAGCUGCACCUCACCACCUGGCCACAUGCAACUAGGGAACAAAUGCAGCCGCUGGUUUCGAGAACUAGGAGCAUUUUAGAACUCACGAGUAGGGCGCCCAACCUCUGGUUCCUGUCUCUAAGCUCCCUGGGCGCAGCCUCCCCUCUGGACUCAGGGCGGACGCUUCCUGGGUGGUAGGGGAGACGUGACCGGACGACCUCGGUGUGCUCUGAAGGAAAAGCAGCGUCACCAAGAGCCAGCCCAGACCGGGAGCUCUCCCAGGACAGGCUGGCUGGGCGAGCCCUGGAGGCGGCUCCAGGCCACCAGGCUUCCUUGGGGGAGGGGCUGGGGGAGGGCUGGUGUCACGGGAGAGUGGAUGCAGAGCAUCCCAGGACGAGGGAACCGCAUGUGCCAAGGCCUCGCGGUGGAGGAGGAGGCAGUCUGGAUCACCCAGCGACUCCUGGGGCCACAUCUUAGGAUAGGGUUUGUGGGGAGGGGCAUUGGGCAUUGCCAAGGCAGGCGUUUGGCUGACGUGCCGAGCAGGAAAGCUGGGAGUGACCAAGUGCCACUCUCCGACCCCCUCGUGUCUAUAGGAGUCAGGCCCUACCGCAAAACAGUCAUUAGCCCUCACUCCUGACCCUCAAGCCUUAGCAGUCACCUGACCCACAACCGCUCCUGCCCUGCUGAUGGCAGGGGUCCUCACUCUGAGCCCUGCAGGCAGUGCCCACCCCCAGCCCCAGUUCUCUUAUCUGUGACCAGGACCUCGCCAAACACCAGAGCUGCAGAGCUCAGCGUGGACGUCAGGAUCCCUCAGGCGAGCAGCCCCAGCGCUGCAGGGCGCUCAUCCCAGAGGCUUGCCCACUCCUGCAGCCGCGUGGUGGAGACGGCAGAGGCGCCAGAGGUGCAGGAGAAGUACAAAUAAGAUGUGCUUGUCUGUGGCCCCCAGCGGGAGGAGAGUGCUGCGCGGAAGAAGAGGAAGGGGCUGAAUACCAGCGACGCGGCCCCAAAAGGAAGGAACUGUGGCGCAACAAAGGGGACAAAAACCAGCGGGAAUGCUACCGAGUCUCACUGGGGAGAGCUGACCACGAGGUUCCUACAUCCUGGCUCUCCCGGUUCCCCACAGGAACCUGGACCAGGCAUUCGGCGCAAGAGGGUGCUUGGAGUUGGAAGCCUUAUCCGGCAGAUACAGAUGCCACAUUUCCCUGCGACCUGUUUACCGUUGAGGGCGCGUGGCCGGAACCGAGUAAUGUAAACUCGCGUUCAGAGAAGGACGCUGUAUGAGGGGAAGGGUCCUGGUCUUCAGCACCUUAAACUGAGAGGCGAUCACAGAGCAGGUGUCGGCUCCAUGCCGAUGCCGCGUCCUGUGCAUCUUGCACGCGGAGGAGUUUCUUCCCGCCGCACAAGCGUUUUCCCACGAGGGACGAUCUCCGUAAAACUUCAUGGAUGACCUUUCAUUUUCCUGGGAUGCGUCCAAACUUCAGCAAUGUGUUCCCUCGACUAACGACGAAACCUUUGUCAUGUAUUAGCUGCUGUUUUAAAGUUUUUGAAACCGCUGUGGAAUGCCCAAGAAUUUGAGAAGAGGGUUUAAAAAAUGUUCAAGUUAUUUUGCUCCUUCACCGUUUUGGCCCAAGUCAUGCUACUCCCUACCACCUGAACUGGAUUAACUACAGUACAGUCAAAAAGCUUCAGUAAGAUUCCUUUAAGCAGGAGUUCCUGUCGUGGCGCCGUGGUUAACGAAGCCGACUAGGAACCAUGAGGUUGCGGGUUCGAUCCCUGCCCUUGCUCAGAGGGUUAAGGAUCUGGCAUUGCCAUGAGCUGUGGUGUAGGUCACAGACGCGGCUCGGAUCCCGCAUUGCUGUGGCAGCUACAGCUCUGAUUCGACCCCUAGCCUUGGAACCUCCAUAUGCCUAGGGAGCGGCCCAAGAAAUG
Molecule: long non-coding RNA, 5388 nt
Filed under: Sus scrofa (pig)
Lineage: Eukaryota; Metazoa; Chordata; Mammalia; Artiodactyla; Suidae
Description: lncRNA (ENSSSCG00040013309.1)
Source: RNAcentral